Long non-coding RNA from Rhagoletis zephyria (snowberry fruit fly), 112 nucleotides. RefSeq lists it as uncharacterized. The record is from RefSeq and is a predicted model, not a curated record. Lineage: Eukaryota; Metazoa; Arthropoda; Insecta; Diptera; Tephritidae.
UAACGUUACAAUCCAAAUUUUUAAAACGUUGUUUCUGGAAUUCAGUUUUUUGGACUUAGGCGGUCAUUGCUUAUGACCACAGAAGUAUUAAAUGAAAUUAAAAAAAAAUCUU